GAUGAACGCUAGCUACAGGCUUAACACAUGCAAGUCGAGGGGAAACGACAGAGGAAGCUUGCUUCCUUUGGGCGUCGACCGGCGCACGGGUGAGUAACGCGUAUCCAACCUUCCCGCAAGUAAGGGAUAACCCGUAGAAAUGCGGCCUAAUACCUUAUGUUUUCCUUAGAGGGCAUCUGAUGAGGAACAAAGAUCCGUCGCUUGCGGAUGGGGAUGCGUCUGAUUAGUUAGUCGGCGGGGUAACGGCCCACCGAGACGACGAUCAGUAGGGGUUCUGAGAGGAAAGUCCCCCACAUUGGAACUGAGACACGGUCCAAACUCCUACGGGAGGCAGCAGUGAGGAAUAUUGGUCAAUGGACGAGAGUCUGAACCAGCCAAGUAGCGUGCAGGACGACGGCCCUAUGGGUUGUAAACUGCUUUUAUAAGGGAAUAAAGUGGGUCACGUGUGACUUUUUGCAGGUACCGCAUGAAUAAGGACCGGCUAAUUCCGUG
RNAcentral lists this ribosomal RNA (492 nucleotides) under uncultured bacterium. Its description in RNAcentral is "bacterial SSU rRNA". It matches the Rfam family "Bacterial small subunit ribosomal RNA", at positions 28 to 507 of the family's 1533-position model. The record is from RNAcentral.